Molecule: ribosomal RNA, 406 nt
Filed under: uncultured bacterium
Lineage: Bacteria
Description: partial 16S ribosomal RNA
Rfam family: Bacterial small subunit ribosomal RNA
Source: RNAcentral
AUUGAACGCUGGCGGCAGGCCUAACACAUGCAAGUCGAACGAGUGGCGGACGGGUGAGUAAUGUCUGGGAAACUGCCCGAUGGGGGGGGAUAACUACUGGAAACGGUAGCUAAUACCGCAUACCAUCGGAUGUGCCCAGAUGGGAUGAGCUAGUGGGUGGGGUAACGGUUCACCUAGGCGACGAUCCCUAGCUGGACUGAGAGGAUGACCAGCCACACUGGAACUGAGCCACGGUCCAGACUCCUACGGGAGGCAGCAGUGGGGAACAUUGCACAAUGGGCGCAAGCCGGAUGCAGCCAGGCCGCGUGGAUGAAGAAGGCCUUCGGGUUGUAAAGUACUUUCAGCGAGGAGGCGUUACUCGCAGAAGAAGCACCGGCUAACUCCGUGCCAGCAGCCGCGGUAAUAC